CUUUGGAAGCUCAAAGCCGCACUGGAAACACAGUCUUUCAGGAUGUCUGAAAGGGGCAAGUCUGUUUGUGUGGGGUAAGAAAUGCGGGGAGACAAACGGACAGUGGACAGAUUGCAGAGAGCUCUGUGUGCUGAGAGGAGGGUGCAGACCAGAUUUUUAAAUUGAGAAUGCAACAGUGAAGGAUUUCAAGCUUGGAGUGAGAGGGGAGACUACGAGCCUGCAGUGAUAAGGCAAAGCUGAAGAUUUCAGAGCCAAGGCCACACCCUACAGUUGCCAUGGAAUGGGGUGGCACAGUGGGCUUUGGAGGUAAAGUCUGCAGUUGAGAAGUUCAAGGGUAGUAAGUACUUAAUGCCAGGUCAAUCAUCCCUUUUAAGACACAGAUAUCAUCUGCAGCGUUUUCAGGAACAGCGAUAGAGAAGAAAAGCGGGCAGCUACUAGAUAUUCAAAUCUUCCACAAAUGUCAGGGAGAGAGUCAGGCAGUUGGUAGAAGAGACCUGUAAAGCUGGGUACCAUAAGCCUCAACACAGGUGUUUUUAUUUCAAGGCUGGGGAGCUGUGCUUUGGAAAAGCAAUGAGGAGGUAACAGGAAGUCUCUUCUCCUUCUAAAUCCUGUGUUCAUGGAGGAGGGUGGGUUUUCUCCUCUUGAGAGGGAGUUACAUACAAGUUUAAGGGAAAAGAGUCUGAAGUUUCCACCUAAAUGAUUCUGAAAGAAUCAGGUUAAGAAGCAAAUCUGUUCCGAUGUGAUGCCAACUAAGUACAUGAUCUGAUUGUUCCAGUUAUCCUGUGCCAAAAAGAAGCAAAAAAUGGGCUUUCCACGGAUUAUUGAACACGGUGUCAGUGUGCCUGAGAAACAAGCCUCUAUUAAAAGCUUUCUAGGCAAUUUGAAUCAGGUUGCUGAGCUUUGAAAAACAUUCUACAGCCAAGUGUAGGAGACCCAAGAACUUGGAGAACAUACACGCUCUGAGCUAUUUCAAAAAAUACAGCACUUAAGCCAAUUGAGCUGUAGUCAGGGCAACACAGGCAUGAAUAACAUGAAGGUAGAUUUUAGUAGAAGAGAAGAACAGGCAAGGGAUGCAGUCAUGUGCAUUUGAAACACAGGACAAACAUAAGCCCUUUUUAUCUCAAUAAAGUAAGCGCAGUUUGGGGGCAUUCUGCGGGGUGAGAUAAUUUGUUGGAAUUUAGACGAGGCCCAGAAUCAUCCAUUGGAUAUUAAAUCCACACAUAAGCCUCUGCUAGAAUUGUGCCAGAGUAAGGGCAAUCCUGGAAUUCCUCCAGGCAGUCCUACCACAUCACCCAGAUGUCUGGUUUCUAGGUGAAUGAAUUGAAGAAAGAUCAAGAAAUAUAUGGUGGGUAAGAGGUAGGAGAGAAAGCCUGUGUAAAUUAAAUCAGAUCUCCUCAUACAUAAAC
This 1406-nucleotide long non-coding RNA is filed under the name Homo sapiens (human). Its description in RNAcentral is "non-protein coding LINC02217:30". Lineage: Eukaryota; Metazoa; Chordata; Mammalia; Primates; Hominidae. The record is from RNAcentral.